This 543-nucleotide ribosomal RNA is filed under the name uncultured Glomus. Its description in RNAcentral is "SSU rRNA". It matches the Rfam family "Eukaryotic small subunit ribosomal RNA", at positions 550 to 1095 of the family's 1831-position model. The record is from RNAcentral. Lineage: Eukaryota; Fungi; Glomeromycota; Glomeromycetes; Glomerales; Glomeraceae.
GGAGGGCAAGUCUGGUACCAGCGGCCGCGGUAAUUCCAGCUCCAAUAGCGUAUAUUAAAGUUGUUGCAGUUAAAAAGCUCGUAGUUGAAUUUCGGGAUCAAUUUAUUGGUCGUGCUAUUGUACGUACUAGUAUUAUUGAUUUCUACCUUCUGACGAACCAUGAUGUCAUUAAUUUGGCGUCUUGGGGAAUCAGGACUGUUACUUUGAAAAAAUUAGAGUGUUUAAAGCAGGCUCACGCUUGAAUACAUUAGCAUGGAAUAACGAAAUAGGACGUUUGAUUCUAUUUUGUUGGUUUCUAGGAUCGACGUAAUGAUUAAUAGGGAUAGUUGGGGGCAUUAGUAUUCAAUUGUCAGAGGUGAAAUUCUUGGAUUUAUUGAAGACUAACUACUGCGAAAGCAUUUGCCAAGGAUGUUUUCAUUAAUCAAGAACGAAAGUUAGGGGAUCGAAGACGAUCAGAUACCGUCGUAGUCUUAACCAUAAACUAUGCCGACUAGGGAUCGGAUGAUGUUAAUUUUUUAAUGACUCAUUCCGCGCCUUACGGGA